This 253-nucleotide ribosomal RNA is filed under the name uncultured bacterium. RNAcentral's name for it is "partial 16S ribosomal RNA". It matches the Rfam family "Bacterial small subunit ribosomal RNA", at positions 524 to 776 of the family's 1533-position model. The record is from RNAcentral.
UACGUAGGGACCGAGCGUUGUCCGGAUUCAUUGGGCGUAAAGAGCUCGUAGGCGGCCACUCAAGUCGAAUGUGAAACCUCGAGGCUUAACCUCGAGCCUGCAUUCGAUACUGGAUGGCUAGAGUCUGGUAGGGGGAUCUGGAAUUCCUGGUGUAGCGGUGGAAUGCGCAGAUAUCAGGAGGAACACCGGUGGCGAAGGCGGGAUCCUGGGCCAGUACUGACGCUGAGGAGCGAAAGCGUGGGGAGCAAACAGG